GGGCACAUAGCUCAGUUGGUUAGAGCGCUACGCUCACAUCGUAGAGGUCGCCCGUUCAAAUCGGGCUGUGCCCACCA
RNAcentral lists this transfer RNA (77 nucleotides) under Candidatus Omnitrophota bacterium. RNAcentral describes it as "tRNA-Val". It matches the Rfam family "tRNA". Rfam says of the family: Transfer RNA (tRNA) molecules are approximately 80 nucleotides in length. Their secondary structure includes four short double-helical elements and three loops (D, anti-codon, and T loops). The record is from RNAcentral. Lineage: Bacteria; Pseudomonadati; Candidatus Omnitrophota.